CCUUUCUCCUUCUCUUGCAAACAAAACCGGGCGUUCGAGAACCGCUCCCAGAUUCCUUGUGGACGGUCCCUCCCCACUCUUCCCCGGAGACCGCCGGAGUUGGGCAAGAGUCCCUCCCCUUUGUAGCUGUAGUUGUAUUUAGGGUCUUAAUGAAGCAGAUUUGACUUCGAGCUUCUGCCGGUAUCUCUCCUUCUAGAUCUGGCUGGAAAGGCCAUCGGAGACGGCGACGAUAGCAGUGUUUGCUACACUUUUGAACUGGCUCUGGUUGUCAACUUCCAACAAGUGUCCCUUCUUCUGUGCUACCAAUGGAGGCUACUAGUGGCAGGACGCCAUGAGUAUGCUUGGGCGUAUCAGGCUCUGCCGACGAGCUACUUGCUCCCGGCGCUGCCGAUGCCAAACUGCGCACAGAGGAUGAGUGGAUAGAAGGGCACUUCGCAACAGGGUUACGACGAGCAAGGUGGCUACUGUGUCUGUUCUUAUAUAGUUUGUUUCAGAGAACUCAAACUAACAUCUCUCAACUGUCAAUUUGAAGAGAAUUUUGUCAUGGAACAGUCUUCGGUGAAGACUGAUCUAGAACUGGCGAUAUGUUUAUAAGCGUUGUGCAAAAUUUUGGUGAUCUGACUGAGCAGGUCGGUUUUGAAAUAUAGCCAAAAAUCAUGUCAAUGUGCCACUACUGUUUUGCACAAAAUUCUGUUCUGUUUGGGUGGUGCCAAACUACCAACAGAAGACAUGCUGUCUUCUGGUAGACCAAUGCCAAAAUUGCAUAGUUGUAUGUUAUUUAGGGUCUCUAUUGCAUAUGACUUGGAGUUGUCUCUGUUGACAUCACGUGGUAAUGAAAUUUACAACAUCAUUCCUGCCAUAUUCAGUUUAAUCAAGCAGUAUACCCUUUGAUUCCCUACUCGUAAGGUGGUAUAAAUAAUCAAACCAGGGUUCAAAGCAUCAGUUUCUACUAUGUGAAAUGCAGUUUCAACUCUAAGGCUCUCUGGCCUCGCUUUGGCCUUUCUACUUCUACUAUACAUAAUUUUGGAGGGCAUCAAUAACUAAAUCCAAGAAGUUUACCCAUACACUUCUAUUUGCCACGUCUUGCUCAUUUUUUAUUCAGAUUUACUUCACUUAUAAUUAGAUAGUACGUAGUAAGUUAUACUAAUUCUGUAGUGUUCCUCCCUUUUCUUUUGGCGAAAGAAAGUGUUCCUCAAUUUUGAGCAAGUCCGAAUUCUGAAUAAUUGUUUUUUGUCCUGCUGCGUGAACCAGGAACUUUUGGACUUCGGAACAAUUCUCUACUACACGGUUCCUAUGAAAAUAUUAACAGCAUGUAGAUUUGCUUCAGUGUCAGUUGUUGUUAUGAGUUUCAACUCAUGUCAGCAUGGUCUUAACGUAUGACUGUCUUCAUAGCCCUGAAGAAGAAAAAUCCUAUAAGUUUAGCACAACUGAUGUUGUUUCAUUUGACGAUCAGUUUUAUUAAGCAUAAAAACAUUCACGUGACAUCUUUCAUUUGUAAUGCAAUGAGCAAUAAAGACUUGUAGAUUGUGUACCACUCUACUUGUGAAAUUCUUGGCAUUUUGGUUGUCUUUUGGGUCUAUUUACUUGACACAAAGUUUAGCAUUUUUAAACUCUUGAAUGCUUAUAACCUAAUGAUCUACUUAUAGUGUGCUUAUAACAAGGUCUGAAUGCUUCUAAACUUAUUAAACUAAAGGGUCCUGAUGAUUACAAUUUAUCAAUGUUUAUAGAGUAUAUUCCAAUGCAUCUCAUCCUGAUUAUGAUAUGUCGUGUUAAAUAGAACAAUAUUUCAGCAAAGGACAUGUCCUUUUUUUUGUAUUUCACAAGUACGUGAUUACCAUAUAAACUGAAAUUCUUGGCAUUUUGGUUGUCUUUUGGGUCUAUUUACUUGACACAAAGUUUAGCAUUUUUAAACUCUUGAAUGCUUGUAACCUAAUGAUCUACUUAUAGUGUGCUCAUAACAAGGUCUGAAUGCUUCUAAACUUAUUAAACUAAAGGGUCCUGAUGAUUACAAUUUAUCAAUGUUUAUAGAGUAUAUUCCAAUGCAUCUCAUCCUGAUUAUGAUAUGUCGUGUUAAAUAGAACAAUAUUUCAGCAAAGGACAUGUCCUUUUUUUUGUAUUUCACAAGUACGUGAUUACCAUAUAAACUGAAAUUCUUGGCAUUUUGGUUGUCUUUUGGGUCUAUUUACUUG
This is a long non-coding RNA of Triticum aestivum (bread wheat), 2189 nucleotides long. RefSeq lists it as uncharacterized. NCBI's taxonomy places the organism in Eukaryota, Viridiplantae, Streptophyta, Magnoliopsida, Poales, Poaceae. The record is from RefSeq and is a predicted model, not a curated record. The transcript is spliced from 3 exons.